This 5319-nucleotide unclassified non-coding RNA is filed under the name Acromyrmex echinatior (Panamanian leafcutter ant). RNAcentral's name for it is "pyroglutamylated RFamide peptide receptor-like, transcript variant X3". The record is from RNAcentral. Lineage: Eukaryota; Metazoa; Arthropoda; Insecta; Hymenoptera; Formicidae.
CGGGCUCGUCCGUCGUCACUCGGCUUGGCGGGCAGUUCGUUCGUUCGCGCGGCGCGCUCUGUUUCCAGUUUAGAAUCGGCGCCUAGAUGAGUCGUGUCAUCCCGCCCGCGGUUGGGCCAAUUUUCUCGAGCGACACAUGUAAGUGAGUGUCCCUUUUGUCGUACCUGGACGUCACCUUCUUCCUCGCACCCCGUUCUUCGAUAGUAGCGAGCGACCACCAUUGUCAUUGUGCUGUGGAAAUUCGCGAAUUGUGUUGAAACAACGAGAAGUUGGACGCGCGACGGCGAGCAAGUGACAGUGUGCCGAUGGAGCGACUUCGACCGGAAGCGAAGUGACGACGAAUCACGCUAGGAUGAAAACAAGGAAACUCAAUUUGUGUGGAUACCUGGACAGUACCGGAAUUAGCGAAAUGCUCCAUGAAAGCUCGGUCGUGUGUAAAACUUAGGGUUGCCAUGUGUCCUACUUCUCGUUGAGCAGUCUAAUAACUGCAUGUAUAACUGUUAUGUAACUACAUUUAAAUGCCCUUUGAAAACAAAAUUUUUAAAUCCAAAUUUACAUAGAAAUAUGCAAAAAACGCCGAUAAAUAUCAAAUAAAAAUAGAUUCUUUUACAUGUCUUCUUUCUCUUAAUUACGUAUACAUAUUUCCAUGCAUUGUCUUCAAAAAUGAUGGCAACCCUAGUAAGACAUGAAGCCGCGUGGCAAUAAUAUAUGUUUAGGAGUAACGAUACAUGAUUUCGAUAAAAAUGGUUCUCGAUAAUCUCACUGUGAUGUCGGCCAUUGACGAGUUGGUGGACGACGUUCAAUCGAACAGCACCAACGUGACGGAUUUUCCUGAUUACGAUAUCAAUGAUUCCUUCAAUCACUUUGAAUGGGCGGAAUUGGCUCCUGUUUUGGUCGUCUACACCUUGACGUUCUUUCUCGGAUUAAUCGGUAACGUCAUCAUCAUUGCUUCGACUCUUUGUCGACUCAGGCCAUUGCCGGCGACACCGACGAACGUUUUCUUGGGUGGUCUGGCUACAGCUGAUCUUCUGUUAAUUAUAUUCUGCAUACCCGUGAAAAUAGCGAAACUGUUCUCUUACACAUGGACCAUGGGUAUCUUUCUAUGCAAAGCGGUACAUUACAUGCAGAGUGUGUCGGCAAUCUGCUCGGUCGUCACCCUUACUGCGAUGUCGAUUGAGAGGUAUUACGCCAUAGUGCAUCCAAUGAGAGCGCAGUAUAUAUGUACCAUAAGCCAAGCUCGUAAGAUCGUAAUCAUAACUUGGAUAGCAGCAUUUCUAUUGGGAAUACCCAUGACGUUUACACAGACACACAAGGAAGUUGGAGUGAGGAGGAUCGCUUAUUGGUGCGUUCGCAAUUCCGAAGCUGGACUUCUGUGGAGAUCUCACGAAGUUUAUAUGCUCAUUGUGGUUCUCGUGCUACCAUUGAUCAUCAUGGCGUUCUGUUACACGAGUAUCUGCUGGGAAAUUUGGCGCGUUAUGAAACGAAGAUAUCAUAUGACGUCUCGGCAUGCAUUAAAUCCAAACAGUGCAGAUACGGAAUCUAUUCCUAUGACCCAACGGCAGGGCGGAAACGAACGCAAAUCACGCCGGGACGAAAAAGAUGAAGAAUCACGGACUAUGAAGCAGGUGGUGAAAAUGCUGGUGGCAGUCGUGGUGCUGUUCGCCAUUUGUUGGGCCCCGAUGCUAAUUGAUAAUGUGCUGACUGCUUAUGGCUACCUGCCGCGCGUCAAGAGUGGGGUGCACAAGCAUCUCAAUACCGCGUUUCAGUUGAUGGCUUAUUUUAACAGCUGUAUAAACCCGAUAGUUUACGGGUUUAUGUCGAAGCACUUCAGGGAGAACUUCCUGUCGGCUGCCUGCGGCGGAUGGUGGAUUUUCUGCCCUAGAAGAGGUUACCGGGCAUCUGUAACGAGAAAUCCAAGUCUCAGCCAGACCAGAAGCACCAGCGUUAGGUGGAUCCGAAACUCCUUUGGGGAUUCAAAGUCCCGAAACUCGAGCGGUCCGCAUCCCGUAGACCAUCCGUGACACGCUUGCGGGGUUCUCAAGUUCCCCGACAGCGAGAGACCCCUCGAAAGUGCAUGUGCGACGAAUGUCCGACUAGGGUAGACGAAUGGAGCACGAUUCGAUCUCGAGAUGGACCUGAUUCUUUCUUCAUCCUCGGACCAGGUCUUCGAGGGAAAUUUCCGUCAGAUAGGAGACUUCCGACAGUGUGACGUGAAUAAAAUCGGGAGAGAAUGCGAUUACAGAACUUAUGGAAAUAGGACACAACUGCUUCAAUUUUUCAGUUAUCUGCGAACGGAGCGGUUCGAGAAGAUUAAAUACAAGUGAUAGAACUUUUGUGAAUUUUGACUAGCGGAUUGAGACUACUCACUGGACUAUUCCGGGUAACGUAAGUUGCCGAAUGUGCUCAUCAUCCGUUCAUUAUCCUCGUUGCAUCUUACAACAAGGCGUUAUUGCUUACUCGUCUCGUGGAUGGGACAAUUGGACGGGUUGAUUUAAUUGAACAUUCGGACAAUCGAAUAUUUAAGGGUUUGGUUAAAUCCGUGCUAGGUAAGCGAAUAAGGAGAGUGGGCAGUGUGGACACUCACAAUGGCCACAUACAGUGCAAUAUAAAGCCCUAUAAAUACAUGUAUAAGCUUGAAAUCGCUUGAUUUAGAAAUCCCGCAAAGUAGUAGUAGUCCCGCGCUGAAAUUACUUGAUGCAGGACCAUUAAUUUUAAGAGGCGAACCAGACCUUGAAAAGAUUUGUCGAUGUCGAUAUGUUAAAUGUUAAAUCUUGAAAUGUUGAUAAGUAUCCUUUUAAUUCACGGAGAACUGUUCAAGAAUUACAUAAGAAUGACGUAGGAAAUAAGAACGAAAUACUCUUCCACCGUUUUAGCAGCGCUAGACGCUCUGCCCGAUCUUAAGAGUUUGUUCUCCUUCGUACAAUGUUCACUACCUCAGCAAAACUUGAGAGUGGACAGUGCAUGUUUAGCUGCGAAUGCUAUCGGUCUGAUUCUCAUCCAGUAUUUGUGCUAAAUAUUGUUCUCGCGUUAACCAAAGAAAGUGUAGAAUCCAAUGUUUGUCAGUAAAUACCGCGUUAUAGAAGUACGGACCAAAGUGCGCUAAUUUCGAAGAGAAGUCGUUUCGACGAACGCUUCGAAAAUAUUCGAAAUACGUUCCAGACGCAUUAUACCGUAAACAAUAAAUAAUAAGUUCUUUAGGAAACGUUUGCGACGUAUUUGCGUCGGUGAAUAUUUCUCAUGACGAGUUUCUGUGGUAGGUAUAUGUAAUGAUAAUGAAACUACCAAAUAUUCAGAUUUAUAUUUGUAUAUGAUAUAUCUAAUUUUCUUAACGUCAUAAACAAUUAAAUUUGAGGCCAUGGCAAUGACGUAAAGUUUUUAGAUAUUCGGAAACGAAUAGCAUAUCAUUUGAAAGUUCGAGCCAUGUGGCUGGAAAAAUUAUAAUCUUAUUAGUAAUUAGAUUAAUUAGCUUAUACCAGCAACUCGAUGCUGGGAGCAAACUUUAGAUGAGUAAUCUCGGUUUGUUACUCAGGAGGAUAUUGCAUUUUCUCUUUUUUCAUGCCCUUCUUGAUCUAAUUAGAAUGUUAAAUAUAUCAGGCUAUGAUUCUAUCUAUUAUUAUUAAUAAUAUCUAUUAUUAUCUAUUGUCAUUGAUAGUAAUUAAUAAUGGUAAAACAACAAUAUAGUAAUACACAGGCUAGUGUAUUGAAAGACUUUUUAAUGUAUAAUUUUUAACAGGGCCCGUUUGACAGGCGGGCUUUCGAUAAGUAUAAAUUACUUUAUUUUAAAAAACUGGGGAAAUCAAGUCGCUAAUCAAUAUAUAGAAGAUACAAGUAAAUGAAUACUAUUUAGGUACUUUAGAUUUGACGAACGUGAAUAUUAGCAAUUCACGCGAUUUUAACAGUUCUGUGCUUGUCGUUGAGGAUAAUGUUAUGUGCCAUAAGAAAGUGUAAAAAUUUUGGAUCGAUAUGAAAAAAAGAAGAACGAAAAAUAUCAAAUGUGCGACUAGUCUAUGACAUUUAUAGCGUAUAUACUGUGUUAUAUGAUGUGUAAUAUAAAAUUAGGAUUAUUUGCGUACUGUAUGGAAACAGCUUUUGUCGUUGCAUCUGUGUGUGCGUGUGUGAAUGAAAAGACGAGAAUGACGAAUACGUUAUUAAGGUACCGGUAAGAGAGCUAUGAAAUAAUUAAUUACGUAGCAAAGUACAAUUUUUGGGCAUUGAAAUUUUUUUGACAUUAUUCAAAGGGUUAGUAAUAUCACAUAUAAUUUUUGUUAUAUGUAUCGUCUUUCUUUCGUUAAACAUAUAUAGCAAAGACUCUUUUUCUACCCAAUCGUUUAAUAGACUGAAGCCAUGUAGGAAUAAUUUAAUUGUUGGAAUCAUCGAAGAGCAAUGGUAUUAAAUGACAACUUCACUCUUUAGAAGUAUUAAGAUAUUUGCUGUAUUUUCGAUGUAUUAUAUGAUCAGUAACGAUCAUGACUUGUCUAUUGAUGAACCGUAAUGAGAUAUAUGAAACUACCCUAAUAUCAAUUUUCAUCUAUCAAAGAUUAAUUGCAAUUAAUAAUCAUAAGAUUAAUAUCUAUUAUUUAAUUUGUAUAAUUCUUUAUUUAGUUGCGGAAAAAUCCAAUUCAAAGCUUGAAAAAAAAAAAAAAAACAAAUUUGUUGAGUUUAUUGCAACAUAAUUCUAGUUUACAGCGCAUUGCCAAAUUUAUAAUUUUAAUAUAAUAAUAAUUUUAUUAAUACGAAUAAAUGAAAAAAAGUCUUAUUAUAUAGGCUCUUCAAAUAAUUUUAUUAUUUAUGUAUAAUAUAAUACAGUUCCAAAAACUCGGUGUCUCGAGUAAUAAUAAUUAUGACUCAUAAUAAUUCUACAUGAUAUUCCCCACUUAAAAAAAAAGAUUGUAUCAUGUAAGUAAAAUUUUUUUUGAUGACUUAAUAACUUUUCACAGGAUUGUCACCUAUGUCUCUUUCGAUUUUCUAACUUGCAAACAGAUUUUUCAAAUAAAGUACGAAUAGACAAUAUUUUUAACGUUGAGCGUGAUAACCUCGGCGAUGAAAGUACGAUCUUUGUACGUGUAGAGUAAUUACAUUAAUUCAAUCUGUACAGCGACGAGAAUUAUAUAUUUUCCAUAGGAACAAUGGAUACGUAUCUUGAGCAAAUUAAUUUAACUUAAGUAAUAGCGAGUACAAACUUUACAAUCUAUAUGAUUAGACCACGAUGUUGUAAACAGCUUUAAAUGUUUAAAUGCAUACUAGUCAACCUUCUAGCAUGAUACUAUUUAGAUGACAGCAAGUAUAAGCAAUUAAAUAAAUGUUGAAUAAUAAUUCCCA